Helianthus annuus (common sunflower) is the source of this 718-nucleotide long non-coding RNA. RefSeq lists it as uncharacterized. The transcript is spliced from 3 exons. The record is from RefSeq and is a predicted model, not a curated record. NCBI's taxonomy places the organism in Eukaryota, Viridiplantae, Streptophyta, Magnoliopsida, Asterales, Asteraceae.
AAAAAGAAUUUGUUUGGACAGGGAAUUUGCGUAUUGGCAGAUGAACAUAUUUGCUUUCAUUCUGCUAAGUUGUUUCAUUUUCAAGCUGAACAACUAAAACAAAACUGCAAGGUUUGAAAUGAUGCUUAAUCUUCACGUUGACAAAAGGUUACUACUUAUAAAGACUUGUCACUAAUAAGGUUUUGUUGCUAAUGAAGAAGACUCACCAAAGAACCACUAGACGAUGAUGAAGAAGACCCAAUACUGAGCUGGAGCCUAGCAUCUAGUGGUUCUUCAUUAAGAUCCAAGUCCAACCUAGCCAUUUGCUAGUUACUCAGGGGUGGCAAGGCACCGGGUGAUAUUAAUCUAAACAAUGAAAGAGAAGAUGUUUUUAAACAGUGAAGAUGUUUCAUUUGCUAGUGGUUCUUCAUUAAGAUCAGAGUGUUGAUUGAUUAGUCCUUUCCGCAACAAGGUUUAUACAUCUGACCCAGCCAAUGUUUAAGACCCAUGACAAAAGUUAUGUUAAGUUGAAGAAAGAAGACAUUCUAUCAGGGUUUCUGCAAAUCAACAAGACACAUCCAACAUACUAAGAGAGACAUAAUCCGAAUUCACUUAUUUCGAGCCCGGAUUUUGACUCUGAUGACAACAUGUGCGGGGUUGUUACUCUUGCUUUGGGCUUGUGUUGGGCCUUCAACUGUCAUGUUGCGACAGGUCAUGAAGUACCAGAAGAGAGCACUGA